GACGAACGCUGGCGGCGUGCUUAACACAUGCAAGUCGAACGGAAAGGCCCUGCUUUUGUGGGGUGCUCGAGUGGCGAACGGGUGAGUAACACGUGAGUAACCUGCCCUUGACUUUGGGAUAACUUCAGGAAACUGGGGCUAAUACCGGAUAGGAGCUCCUGCUGCAUGGUGGGGGUUGGAAAGUUUCGGCGGUUGGGGAUGGACUCGCGGCUUAUCAGCUUGUUGGUUGGGUAGUGGCUUACCAAGGCUUUGACGGGUAGCCGGCCUGAGAGGGUGACCGGCCACAUUGGGACUGGGAUACGGCCCAGACUCCUACGGGAGGCAGCGGUGGGGAAUAGUGCACAAGGGGCGGAAGCCUGAUGCAGCAAAGCCGCGUGCGGGAUGACGGCCUUCGGGUUGUAAACCACUUUCGCCUGUGACGAAGCGUGAGUGACGGUAAUGGGUAAAGAAGCACCGGCUAACUACGUG
This 468-nucleotide ribosomal RNA is filed under the name uncultured bacterium. RNAcentral describes it as "partial 16S ribosomal RNA". It matches the Rfam family "Bacterial small subunit ribosomal RNA", at positions 28 to 507 of the family's 1533-position model. The record is from RNAcentral.